RNAcentral lists this long non-coding RNA (298 nucleotides) under Vombatus ursinus (common wombat). Its description in RNAcentral is "lncRNA (ENSVURG00010017433.1)". Lineage: Eukaryota; Metazoa; Chordata; Mammalia; Diprotodontia; Vombatidae. The record is from RNAcentral.
CCUGCAGCGGCUAGGGUUCAGGGUGAUUCUUGUCUUCUUUUUUUUUUCUUCUUUCCCUCCUGCAGAGAAUUGGAAGCUAAAGCUACCAAAGAAGUCGAAAGGAAACUAAGCAGGGAUUUAGUGAAAGAAGAGGAAGAACAGUUGAUGGAAGAAAGGAAAAAGAGAAAGGACGACAAGAAAAAGAAGGAAGCUGCUCAAAAGAAGGUAAUGUGUAUUUAAAUAUAAACAUAUAAUUUAAGAAAUGAAAAUUGCUUCACCUAAAGUCUUUUCCAAAAGCUUUUGUUGCAUUGUAUCUGCA